This 359-nucleotide ribosomal RNA is filed under the name uncultured bacterium. RNAcentral's name for it is "partial 16S ribosomal RNA". It matches the Rfam family "Bacterial small subunit ribosomal RNA", at positions 527 to 886 of the family's 1533-position model. The record is from RNAcentral.
GGAGGGUGCAAGCAUUAAUCGGAAUUAUUGGGNGUAAAGGGNNNGUAGGCGGAUGGGAAAGUCAGAUGUGAAAUUUCGGAGCUCAACUCCGAAGCUGCAUUUGAAACUCCCUAUCUAGAGGAUAGGCGGAGAAAACGGAAUUCCACGUGUAGCGGUGAAAUGCGUAGAGAUGUGGAAGAACACCUGUGGCGAAAGCGGUUUUCUAGCUUAGACCUGACGCUGAGGCGCGAGAGCAAGGGGAGCAAACAGGAUUAGAUACCCUUGUAGUCCACGCUGUAAACGAUGGACACUAGCUAUUGGAAGUGUCGACCCUUUCAGUGGCGAASUAACGCGUUAAGUGUCCCGCCUGGAAUUACGGC